ACAACACACUUACAGAGCUAGUGCUGCACCAUACGGCCAAAUGCCGAAAGUGGCUAGGAUAUCCCAGAGAGAGUAGUGCUGCACCAUGCAGUCAAAUGCCGAAGGUGGCUUAUGCUAGUAUAUACCUGUCUAUACGUUUCAAUCAGAAGAUCGAUAUUAUGUGUUCAUGUGAAAGUACACAUUUCCUUAGGAGCUGUAUUUUGAUAGAUUUAAGCUUCUAAUGGAGCAUUUUAAACGUAUAGAGUAUACUAUGAAGUAGAGUGCGGAUCAUUUUAUAUUCAUAGAAAAUUUGAAUGUAUGGAAAUGUACAAAAUGCUCAUGAUAUGCAAAAAUAUGCAAAAUAUUCAAAGUAAACCAAUCAUCAAAAAGUUUAAAAGAUUUCACAGAUUAUUUCGAUAUUGAAGUACUUCUUAUGUAUUAACGAAGAAGAUAAAACAUACUAAUACAAGCAUAAUUCAACUGAGCGAUUAUGAUAAUGUUAAUGCGCAUCUCCGAACGUGCAGAGGAUAAAUGAGCAGUUUUCAGAAUUCUACCUUUUAGCGUUCUACACACGAUCGGAGCGUAAAUGUGCCCGUAGUCUGCCUGUUCCUAUAAGCUACUUUAAACGAUCAUCUUUGAUUGUGUUGGCUCGUAGAUCAUAGAGGAAGCGAUUUACCUAUCUUUCGGAACAAGAACUACAGUUAAAAACAGCGACCAAUUGAGAACGGUAGUUAAGUCCGCGAGUAGAGGGGUGAGCGUGUUUUAGCGGCGACAACAGCACACGGUAUGCAGAUACGAAGCCGGGGUAAACCGGGAAGCCGUAGUUCACGGACCGUAGUAAGCGUGGUAACUCUGAACAGUCAACGACAUUUGAAAGCCGGCCGCGCUCUGGAAUUCAGAUAGACGAAUAUGCGGCUGCUUCUGUUCCAAAUAUCUCCGUUACUGUGCCUGUUGACGGAAAUCGGCGCGGCUGGGAUCGGUAAAGCAUGGCAGAUCCUGCCAUACGCGACCGAUUCCUGGAAUCACCCAUCAUGGCCACGGCUCGACUCUUCCGCGUUCGAAGUUCGCAGCGUGACCGGG
Bombus terrestris (buff-tailed bumblebee) is the source of this 1059-nucleotide long non-coding RNA. RefSeq lists it as uncharacterized. The transcript has 5 exons. NCBI's taxonomy places the organism in Eukaryota, Metazoa, Arthropoda, Insecta, Hymenoptera, Apidae. The record is from RefSeq and is a predicted model, not a curated record.